GAACGAGGAAGGGUGGGUGAGCAAUUUUUUUAAGGAGGAAAACAUUGUAGUCAAUACCUGCAGUCCUGGACGUUACUUACACAAUACGGGCCGGCUAUUUCCGUGCCAGGACCCGCGGUAAUACUGAAGGUCCAAGCGUUAAUCCGAAUUACUGGGCGUAAAGCGCGCGUAGGUGGUUUUUUAAGUUGGAUGUGAGAGCUCUGGGCUCAACCGAGAAACUGCUUCCCACACUAUAUGACCAGAGUACGAAAGAGGGAAAUAGAAUUCCCAAUGAAGCGAUGGAAUGCGUAGAUAUUGUGAAGAAUAGCAAUGGCAUUGGUAACUACCUGGAUCUGUACUGACACUGCCGGGCUAAAUCGUGGGUAGCAAACGCGAUUACAUACCCUGGGAAUCCACGCCGAUAACCAGGACGACUACCUGUUGGGAGACAACAUCUCUCUGUGGCGAAACUAAAUCUC
This 458-nucleotide ribosomal RNA is filed under the name uncultured Gammaproteobacteria bacterium. RNAcentral's name for it is "bacterial SSU rRNA". It matches the Rfam family "Bacterial small subunit ribosomal RNA", at positions 410 to 860 of the family's 1533-position model. The record is from RNAcentral. Lineage: Bacteria; Pseudomonadati; Pseudomonadota; Gammaproteobacteria.